Molecule: transfer RNA, 76 nt
Filed under: Candidatus Equinaster intestinalis
Lineage: Bacteria; Bacillati; Bacillota; Clostridia; Eubacteriales; Acutalibacteraceae
Description: tRNA-Pro
Rfam family: tRNA
About the family: Transfer RNA (tRNA) molecules are approximately 80 nucleotides in length. Their secondary structure includes four short double-helical elements and three loops (D, anti-codon, and T loops). Further hydrogen bonds mediate the characteristic L-shaped molecular structure. tRNAs have two regions of fundamental functional importance: the anti-codon, which is responsible for specific mRNA codon recognition, and the 3' end, to which the tRNAs corresponding amino acid is attached (by aminoacyl-tRNA synthetases). tRNAs cope with the degeneracy of the genetic code in two manners: having more than one tRNA (with a specific anti-codon) for a particular amino acid; and 'wobble' base-pairing, i.e. permitting non-standard base-pairing at the 3rd anti-codon position.
Source: RNAcentral
CGGGGUGUAGCGCAGUUGGUAGCGCGCCAGUUUUGGGAACUGGAUGUCGUCGGUUCGAAUCCGGUCACCCCGACCA